UAGAGAAAUACAGUUUGUGAUGCCUAAAGGAUUUGAAGCCCUGAUUAUGUGUUUACAGAAAAGAAAAAGAAGAAAAGAAGAGCCAGGAGGAUAGGUUGUUCAGUUUACUACCGGAGACCUGACUGUGACAGACCACCAAGAAAACAAAAUUUUCAAAGAGAGUGGAGGAGACCUUCUGCAGCAUCUGCAAGUCUGUCCUUUUUUCUUCAGAGUUGCGUAGGAUAACUUAGCCAGAACUUAUUGAUGUCUGCAUGUUCAGUGGACUCGGGGAUGGACUGGGAGAUGCGGAAACGUACUCUUUGGAAGAAACAGGAGAGGAGGCAUUUCAAAGAUCCUGCAGGUGACAAAGGUGAUGAUCUGCUGACAGAAGAAAUAAAUCAUAGAAAGUGCCGAGACUGCACAAGCAUUUCGUGUGGUAUUCCUAUAUGAGGAACCGUCGUCACAGUCUUUCUUCAAGUAUGUUCUCUCCUGGGGGUUCAUUAUUUUUCAGAGGAUGGGUCUUUCUGCCCUGCAGGGAUCUAUCUAUCACUGCUGACUCUCUGCAUCUUCUCCACAUGGAAGAAGUAAUUGGAUUGUAUUUUCUGCACAUGACCAAGACAGCAGGGAAACCCACAGCUGUAAGCCAGAGAACCAAGCUGUCUAGAGACUCUGUGAUUCCCUCAGUUAUUGAUACAACACAGCCAUUUUCAGGAGCUCCAGGUCUUUCUAAAGGCCAUGUUUUGCAUUGAGAGACUCCAUCGUGUCCCGGACCCAGAGAAGGUGGGUGAGCAAGUUGCUCUCUCAGAAGUCUGUCAGCUUCCAGGAGACGCCAAUUAUGUCACCUUGUCUGAUGGUGUGCUGCUGGAUGGGCCUGGGCCUCACCAGCAUGCCUAAUAAUGUCAUCAGGACUAAGGAUAUGAGGAGGAUGAGGUGUCCUAUACCCAGCAGUGAAACAUGCCAGUACAAAGAUAAAAACCAAAAGUGGCUGGACCUCAGACAAAGGAGGAGAAGGGAAGUUGUUGAGGUCCCCACACAGAUGUCUGACUACAAGUCCACCAAGGUGCAUUGAAACUGUGUCACAGCUCAGCCUCUUCUCCCCAGUGCCUGUGGAGGCAGCUUCCAGCAUGACACAUCCCAUCUUUGACUCACCAGAAGACAUGCUUCAAUUCAGCUAGAAAAUAGGAACUUAAGGAAAGAGCUUGAAAGUCUGUGGCAAGCCUAUAAGGACUGAUGUACAACACAAUUGUAAAGUUUAAUUCUAGACUGAAAAUCAAUGAAUAUACAAAGAUUCAUAUUUCUAAGAAAACAAAGACAUAAAUCUACAGCCAUUUUGACAAAUGAUGUGCAGAUUUCUCCUGGGGAACAUGCAAAGAAGGCCCACACCUACGGAAAGGCUGUCCCAAGAUUAUGUCACCUACAUGUAUCAUGAAGGAAUUUUCUUCUUGGCUGCUCAGAGGAGGAUUUUUAACAUUUGCCUUUCAUUUACUCCACAACAUUUCAUUUCUGAGUAACUUGUACUCCUUCACACCAUUUUAAUUUGAUGGCAUGUACAAGUAAUGCAGAGACUUUUCGUUCCUAAGGGAAAUUAAGAAAAUAAUUCAUUCUUUCGCUCAGUAACUCAACUGAAUUCAAUUUGGGUUCAUUCUUUUAGGAAAGGUGUUUACCUAGUUCUGUCAAUUAAAAUAUGGAAGGAAAAUGUCAAUAAUACUGACCAUAUUGUCAUCACAAUUCUUAGUUCUUUCAUGCCAUGCUUCCUCCACAGAGCCUUUAAUUUCGCAGAGGGAAAAGCUAACAUAAAGACUUAGAAGGCAUAAGUCACACCUGUAAUUUCUGCAUGUUACUAAAUACUAACAUAUACUAGGUGCAUGGAACAAAACUUCAGGAAACCAGUUUUCACAUUGAUUUGGUUUUUUGAGCUCAUUUGUAAGGUUUUAAUUUUAAUUUUUUUUGUUACGUUUACUUUGAUAUAUAUUUGCCAGAUGAAUUGCAUGCACAGAAAAAGGUGUAACAAAAGGGCAGAAGUAUCAGCUGCAUUAUGUGCUCCUAAGAGACAGAGAAAGAACAUUAUUUGGAAAUUUCUGUGGCACAGGGCCGUGCUGGCAGCUGCUGGUCUCAUUCCUAUCCCUUACAUGGGAUUGUUAACACAAGGACGCAUGUGGGAAUGACUGAGGACUGGAGAGGCCAUGACCAAAGUGAAUAUUGAUUCUCUUUUUCCUUGGUGUGGCUGCCUAUGUAGAAAACAUCAAUCAGUAGGGCAGCCUGAGAGAAGGCUGAAUGAAUUAAUGGAGGAGAGAACCCUCUCAGAGCUACUGGACACACAGAAAAUCAGCCUGGCUUGGGGUGUGUCUGGGCUGCAAGUGCUUUGCAGUAGCGAGGAGAGGCUGCUUGCGAUUCUCCGGUCUCACGCUCCUCGUCCCAGCAUCAGCUCUAGGGCGUUAGCAUUAGCUGUUCUUAUUUCAUUAUGCUUUUAUUUACUGUUGGCAGGAGAGGAGGGCUGGAAGCUGCCCAGAGUGCUGGCUGCAGCCACUGAGAGACCUCUCUUUCCCCAGGGCUGGCUGCAGCACAGAAUUGAUGGGCGCUGAGUAAAUGUGUUUCAUAUCCAGAGCAAAUUUUCCUGAGUGCCUAAGUGGCUUGAAACUGCAGGUUCUGUUGGCCAAGAUCAAGUAACUUGCUUGGGAGAUUGCUUCCAGUUAGUUUUCUCUCUUUUUGUCCUCUCUCUGUGUUUGUGCAUUUUCAAUUAUGUAGAAAUGUAUCAUAUAGCUCCACUUUGUUUUAUUUAAGCAGGCAAAGAAUGGUGAGCUUCAAAACUGCAGGAUACCUUGAAAUCUUUUAACUUCAAACAUUCUGUCUCUGAUAGGAAAACACGUAUUUCCUUUUUAAUUCUCAAUCAUGUUAACUGGUACUGGUGACUUUGUACCCACAAGCACAGAACACUAGAUGGAUAGACUGCAGCAAAACAAGUUACAUGUUGUAUUUAGAAACAAGUACCUUUAAAAAAUUUACCUGUCUGCCAAGACUUGGAAAAACAAGAAAGCAAGUUCAGCUCAGUACACUGAGCAGUUCCUCACUGCCUGACUCUCCUCAUGGCUUCUGGGAAUGCCUGGCAUGUCAGGUAACACACGCUGAGCAAGAGCCAAAAAGCCCUUUGUUGCUUGUAAAAAUGAAACAAGCACCUUGUUGGAAAACAGCUCUUUUCAGAGGCAUUACAGCUGUGGAUGAUGCUGUAGCCACUCUUCUCAUCCAUCAGGCAGAGUGCCUACCAGGGACCAGCUUUCAGCAGUGGCAGUAGGUAAGGUGUAUAACAAGGAUAGGUCCAGUUGUCCUGUGCCAGAGCAUCCUACCUUUCUUUAUACCUCCAUUGCACAAACAACACACACUAACAGCAAACAUUUGCAUGAAACAAGCAGUGAUGAAAUAUAUGAAAUAUACCUAUUUAAUUGUUCACCGUCCGCUAAGUCAGGAGAGCUCCACCCUGCACUGUUUUGACCUCCAGUUCUUUCCUGACUCAUCUGCAGCUCUGCUGUUUCAUGGUGGGAGAUCUUUCAGUUCUGGCUUUGCCCUGCCUGUAGCAUCUGGUGCUGUUCUCUCCUAGUGUGACUGCUCCUGGCUGCCCUUUUCUGAGGAAAAGAGAUGAUUUUUUGAGGCUGUGGUGAUCUGGUAUGGCAGGUGCUGUACAGUCUCAGAUAGGAGGUCUUGACUAGCAGAAUUUCCUGUCUGUUCAAGAGCUCCCAAGCUGAAUGCCUUUGCAACCUCCUCCUGGGCUUGUGGGUGGCAUCAGGUGCUGGGGCUCUUUCACACUGCAGAGCUUGUAACAUCUGGCUGAUGCCAUGGGUUAUAACAAUAAAUGACACCACACACAACAAACAUCUCCAGGGCUUUCUCCAACUUCAGUCUCUAAUCUCUCAGGCUUCCUGUGCCCUGUAUCUGUCUAUAAUGCUUUCAAAAUGACAAUCCUAGUGAUUUUGACAUGAAGAAUUCAUGUGAAGCUGGUGCAGAGGCUGGUAAGAGGCUGCCCUGACCCUCUGGGCCUGGGAGUGUCACAUUCUCUCUGUGUAUGAACCGAAAGUGGAGAGGGUACAGAAGGGUCAGACAGACAUCCCUAUGACCCUGCUUUCCUCUAUGUCAUGGGACUUUUGUGCACAAUUGGCAAUUACAGAUGUAGCCCUGAGACUCACACCAAGCUUCUGACCUGUUGUCACACACUAUUUUAUGCAGCAUGUCAUAUCCAACAUGACUGUAAUGUCUUCUGUCUUACUCACAUCCAGCUCUGUCUCCUGCUUUUUUUAACUUCUCUCCCAGGAAUUUCUCUUAGGCAGACUUUUCUUCCAUUAUUCAGACUCAAAUCACUUUUCACCACUGUUUUGUUCCACAUCAAAGCCUGUAGCCUCACCCCCUUUGCACUUAGGGCUCCCAAAAGCCUGGAAAGCUUCUGAGGAAGCUGGUCUCUGUGGAGCUGGGGCAAUGAGCUGGGGUGGCUGUACACGUUCCUGUUAUUGAAAGCAAACAGACCUGUCCGCGCUUUUCAUUCCCUCCCCCCAGGGAUUUGGCUGGACUAUCGCCCUGCCAGUUCACUGUUUUCCCUGUCUGACAGUGUUUGCUGUAGGCAGUCAGGCUUGGCCAGAGGAUAUGCUCCAUGGCUCUGCUCAGGCAAGCCUGUCUCCCACAUGUUCAGUGUAUGUUGUGUGAAGAAUGUCAGACCUCUGCUGGAGCUACUGGGUGGCUCCCUAAGAGAGAUGCUGGGAGUCAGCACAGGCACAUCCUGCAGUGCCCACUGUGGGCUGUAGUGAUGCCAGAGCCUCCCUUCUGGGCUGUGAAGGUUUUGCAAACAGCCCUUCUGUGUGGCUCUCUGUGCAGCACAUCUGGCUUGCUGUAUUCCAGAGACAUUGCUGGGCAGUACCCUUGCCUCACCUGAGAGCUUUGGAGGCCCAGUGACAUGUGUUACACUUGUCUGAGAGCUCAGCAGAGACCUCUUUGUGAUGCUGGCUGAUCUCUCCAGGGCUGGAUCUGCUUCUCUCAAUAAUUUCGCUUGCACUCUGGAAUCCCAUAAGCAGCUCUUGUUUUAAUCAGGGGCUCCAUAAUGUCUCCAAAGAAAUAUGUAGUGUCAGAGAUCUUACAUCUGAAACAUAAGGCUCAAUUGCCUCAUAUUUUUAUUUUUGGUUUUGAGCACAAUUACUGAGUCCCUCUACAGUCUUACUGUGUCCAGGUCAGGUCUUCAAAUAACUUUCUUGAUGGUUCAAUUGCUCCAAGUAUUAUUUUGAAAAUAAUAAGUGACUCUCUCAAGCCACUGCUUGUCCUUUUUGUUCAGUGAGACAGUGAAAAGUUUUACUUCCAUGUUUUCUCACUCUUUCAUGGCCAGCUACACGUAUCAAUUCCCUGCUCAUGUAAACACUUCAAACUGGUCUUUUGAGCUCUCAGUGGCUCAAGUCCCUUCUGGCAGUUCAUCUGCUCCAUUCCCAGAGUGUCUUUCUGUGUUUACUGCACUGGCUGAUGACAUAAACUCUGUCCCACCUCUCAGAAAGGGACAGUUUAUCUCCAGCUGCAGCUCAUCCCUUUGGAACAGCACUGCUACUGAUGUUAAUAAGAGAGAAAUCCUGUUUGAGUCUGUAGCAAACAUCCCUCAGGUAGCUGCAGCAAAUGAGGAAAUAUUUAAAGGUGAGCUAUGUCCUAAUAUCAUCUGUUGGAAAGGACUUUAUGUUUCAUAUAUUUCAUGUUAUUGCUCUGAAAGACUAAACGCAGGAGCACAUUUCCAAUUGAAAUGCUUGUGGAAAUUAAAUCCAUGUUUAAAUGAAUUUGAAACUUUUAAUGCAAAAUUGAGCACUUAGAAAUUUUGCAUCAACUCCAACUUAAUUAAAAUUAAUAAGGUUUCAGAGAGUUUUAGUUGGGAUAGAUGAGGAAAGAAUUUGGCCUUAAAUGUGUAAUUAAAAUACAAUUACAUUGGAAGGAAGUAAUUACUGAGGUUGUACCUCAAAAGCAUACCUAAUGGGCUACCAGGAGAAAAGGUUUAUGUGUUUGGUUCACCAGCUAUAUAAGAUAUAAAAGGAUGUAGUCACUGAAAGAGAGAGAUAUUAACAAGAUCAUUUAGGUAGAUAGUAGCAGCUCUUUUAUGGUCAAAUCAUUCUGGCUAAGUUUAGGAAGGGGACCACUUCAUCUUAGUUUGGGGUGCGCAAGUGCCUCCAUAAGUUUUCCUUCUGAUGCAUUUAAUUGUUUCCCAGCCCUCUCAUGGGGCUGUGAGAGAAGGAAGUGUUGUUCAACCAGUGUCAAACAUCUCUGGAUGAGGAAAAACUUAGUGCUGAAAGACCUCAGCUGUCUGAUUUUAGGAACUAUUUGACAAAGGACUUCUCAAAGUGGAGGACCUAAUCUGACCCUGGUUGAAACCAUGGAAGGAAUGUGGAAUCUCUUGGUCCCUGCACCAGUCUGUAUGAAGCCCUGAGCAUAGAACCAGAACUGUGGUGUCAGUUUUCGAUAAACCUAAACUUGGUGGUUUUUUUACAUAUUGCCCUGGCACACCUAUGAAAAAUGGUUUAAUAAAUAUGACAUUCCACAACAAGCACAAAACAGACAGCUUUGGGAGUUAGAGUUGAAAUGUGAGCAUUAAAAGUGAAGCCACUUUGUACUCUGUGGAGACAGAACAAUCCAUCAUGUGUUUGAUUUAUUUUGUUUUGUUUGGCUUUUUUUUUUUUUUUUUUUUUUUUGUGGGGGUAAUGUGAUAGAUUUUGGUUUUGGAGUCAGUGGUGAGGUUUCUGUUGGCUAUACUGAAGUUUGGAUUAGGUUCACAGAAAUAAAUGAAUUCUAUUUUAUCAUAAGCUAGAUAGAUAGUCAAAGAUGCAAGGUUCACAGGCCCAUUUGGACCAGCUCCUUUCCAAGGGUUCAGAGUCAUGGAUUGCAUCGAAUGG
Molecule: long non-coding RNA, 6872 nt
Organism: Melospiza georgiana
Lineage: Eukaryota; Metazoa; Chordata; Aves; Passeriformes; Passerellidae
Exons: 6
Source: RefSeq, a predicted model, not a curated record